This 161-nucleotide small RNA is filed under the name Verrucomicrobiota bacterium. RNAcentral describes it as "Verrucomicrobia bacterium c-di-AMP sequence". It matches the Rfam family "c-di-AMP riboswitch aptamer (ydaO/yuaA leader)". Rfam says of the family: This family represents a conserved RNA structure found upstream of the ydaO and yuaA genes in Bacillus subtilis and related genes in other bacteria. The ydaO/yuaA element is thought to act as a genetic "off" switch for the ydaO and yuaA genes in its native state. The record is from RNAcentral. Lineage: Bacteria; Pseudomonadati; Verrucomicrobiota.
UUCUUUGUUUCGCUUAAUGGACCGGCCGAGUAGCCAGUCCAACGGGGGAACCAAAUUCCGCCCGCGAAUGCGGAGCGGAUCGGGGCGAACGAUGCGCGGCAUCGAGAGCAUUUAAUGGCCCCAGCCCGACAGCUAACCUCGUCAGCAGCAUUAAAGUACAG